RNAcentral lists this ribosomal RNA (253 nucleotides) under uncultured bacterium. RNAcentral's name for it is "partial 16S ribosomal RNA". It matches the Rfam family "Bacterial small subunit ribosomal RNA", at positions 524 to 776 of the family's 1533-position model. The record is from RNAcentral.
UACGUAGGGUGCAAGCGUUAUCCGGAAUUAUUGGGCGUAAAGAGCUCGUAGGCGGUUUGUCGCGUCUGCUGUGAAAACUGGGGGCUCAACCCCCAGCCUGCAGUGGGUACGGGCAGACUAGAGUGCGGUAGGGGAGAUUGGAAUUCCUGGUGUAGCGGUGGAAUGCGCAGAUAUCAGGAGGAACACCGAUGGCGAAGGCAGAUCUCUGGGCCGUAACUGACGCUGAGGAGCGAAGGCGUGGGGAGCGAUCCGG